UUGGAAGUGAUGAUUUUUUCCCCAGAUGAUCGAAGCUGAUUAUACUGAGCGCUAUUAUUUAGUUUAUCAUUCAUUUGAUAUUCCAAGCCAGAAUUCUGAUCCAC
Small nucleolar RNA from Cannabis sativa, 104 nucleotides. RefSeq annotates it as small nucleolar RNA Z103. The transcript has a single exon. Lineage: Eukaryota; Viridiplantae; Streptophyta; Magnoliopsida; Rosales; Cannabaceae. The record is from RefSeq and is a predicted model, not a curated record.